AUUGAACGCUGGCGGCAUGCUUUACACAUGCAAGUCGAACGGUAACAGGCCUUCGGGUGCUGACGAGUGGCGAACGGGUGAGUAAUGCAUCGGAACGUGCCCAGAGGUGGGGGAUAACGCAGCGAAAGCUGUGCUAAUACCGCAUGUGAUCUGAGGAUGAAAGCGGGGGACCAGGCAGCAAUGUUUGGCCUCGCGCCUUUGGAGCGGCCGAUGUCAGAUUAGGUAGUUGGUGGGGUAAAGGCCUACCAAGCCGACGAUCUGUAGCUGGUCUGAGAGGACGAGCAGCCACGCUGGGACUGAGACACGGCCCAGACUCCUACGGGAGGCAGCAGUGGGGAAUUUUGGACGAUGGGCGCAAGCCUGAUCCAGCAAUGCCGCGUGCGGGAAGAAGGCCUUCGGGUUGUAAACCGCUUUUGUACGGAACGAAAAGGCUCUGGCUAAUACCUGGGGCUGAUGACGGUACCGUAAGAAUAAGCACCGGCUAACUACG
Molecule: ribosomal RNA, 490 nt
Filed under: uncultured bacterium
Lineage: Bacteria
Description: partial 16S ribosomal RNA
Rfam family: Bacterial small subunit ribosomal RNA
Source: RNAcentral